AGAGUUUGAUCCUGGCUCAGAACGUACGCUGGCGGCACGCCUAAUACAUGCAAGUCGAACGGAGUAGCAAUACUUAGUGGCAGACGGGUGAGUAACAUGUGGGUAUCUUCCCUUUGGUGAGGAAUAACACGAGGAAACUUGUGCUAAUACCUCAUAAGUCUUUACGGAGAAAGCUUUAUGCGCCAAUGGAUGAGCCCGCACUUGAUUAGUUUGUUGGUAGGGUAAUGGCCUACCAAGACUGUGAUCAAUAGCUGAUUUGAGAGGAUGAUCAGCCACAUUGGGACUGAGACACGGCCCAAACUCCUACGGGAGGCAGCAGUAGGGAAUCUUGCACAAUGGAGGAAACUCUGAUGCAGCGAUGCCGCGUGAGUGAAGAAGGCCCUUGGGUUGUAAAGCUCUUUCGUCGGGGAAGAAAAUGACUGUACCCGAAUAAGAAGGUCCGGCUAACUUCGUGCCAGCAGCCGCGGUAAUACGAAGGGACCUAGCGUAGUUCGGAAUUACUGGGCUUAAAGAGUUCGUAGGUGGUUAAAAAAGUUGGUGGUGAAAGCCCAGAGCUUAACUCUGGAAUAGCCAUCAAAACUUUUUAGCUAGAGUUUGAUAGAGGAAAGCAGAAUUUCUAGUGUAGAGGUGAAAUUCGUAGAUAUUAGAAAGAAUACCGAUUGCGAAGGCAGCUUUCUGGAUCAUUACUGACACUGAGGAACGAAAGCAUGGGUAGCGAAGAGGAUUAGAUACCCUCGUAGUCCAUGCCGUAAACGAUGUGUGUUAGAUGUUGGAAAUUUAUUUUCAGUAUCGCAGCGAAAGCAAUAAACACACCGCCUGGGGAGUACGACCGCAAGGUUAAAACUCAAAUGAAUUGACGGGGACCCGCACAAGUAGUGGAGCAUGUGGUUUAAUUCGAAGAUACGCGCAGAACCUUACCAACACUUGACAUGUUCGUCGCGACUCUAAGAGAUUAGAGUUUUCGGUUCGGCCGGACGAAACACAGGUGCUGCAUGGCUGUCGUCAGCUCGUGUCGUGAGAUGUUGGGUUAAGUCCCGCAACGAGCGCAACCCCCACUUUUAGUUGCCAUCAUUUAGUUGGGCACUCUGAAAGAACUGCCAGUGAUAAGCUGGAGGAAGGUGGGGAUGACGUCAAGUCCUCAUGGCCCUUACGUGUUGGGCUACACACGUGCUACAAUGGCAUUUACAAUAGGAAGCAAGGUGGCGACAUCAAGCAAAUCCUAAAAAAAUGCCUCAGUUCGGAUUGUACUCUGCAACUCGAGUACAUGAAGCUGGAAUUACUAGUAAUCGCGGAUCAGCGCGCCGCGGUGAAUACGUUCCCGGGUCUUGUACACACCGCCCGUCACACCAUGGGAGUUGGUUCUACCUUAAGGCAAAGCUUAAAACCUUUGACCACGGUAUAGUCAGCGACUGGGGUGAAGUCGUAACAAGGUAACC
RNAcentral lists this ribosomal RNA (1436 nucleotides) under uncultured bacterium. RNAcentral describes it as "bacterial SSU rRNA". It matches the Rfam family "Bacterial small subunit ribosomal RNA". The record is from RNAcentral.